Molecule: ribosomal RNA, 501 nt
Filed under: uncultured bacterium
Lineage: Bacteria
Description: partial 16S ribosomal RNA
Rfam family: Bacterial small subunit ribosomal RNA
Source: RNAcentral
AUUGAACGCUGGCGGCAUGCCUUACACAUGCAAGUCGAACGGCAGCACGGGUGCUUGCACCUGGUGGCGAGUGGCGAACGGGUGAGUAAUACAUCGGAACGUACCUUAUCGUGUGGGAUAACGCAGCGAAAGCUGUGCUAAUACCGCAUACGCCCUGAGGGGGUAAGCGGGGGAUCGAAAGACCUCGCGCGAUUAGAGCGGCCGAUGCCUGAUUAGCUUGUUGGUGGGGUAAAAGCCCACCAAGGCGAGGAUCAGUAGCUGGUCUGAGAGGACGAUCAGCCACACUGGGACUGAGACACGGCCCAGACUGCUACGGGGGGCAGCAGUGGGGAAUUUUGGACGAUGGGGGCAACCCUGAUACAGCAAUGCCGCGUGAGUGAAGAAGGCCUUCGGGUUGUAAAGCUUUUUUGGCAGGGAAGAAACACCGGCUCUAACACAGUCCGGGAAUGACGGUACCUGAAGAAUAAGCACCGGCUAACUACGUGCCAGCAGCCGCCGUAA